UGGGGAAUUUUGGACAAUGGGGGCAACCCUGAUCCAGCCAUCCCGCGUGUGCGAUGAAGGCCUUCGGGUUGUAAAGCACUUUUUGGCAGGGAAGAAAUAGGUCUGGCUAAUAUCUAGACUGAAUGACGGUACCUGCAGAAUAAGCACCGGCUAACUACGUGCCAGCAGCCGCGGUAAUACGUAGGGUGCAAGCGUUAAUCGGAAUUACUGGGCGUAAAGCGUGCGCAGGCGGUUCGGAAAGAAGGAUGCGAAAUCCCAGGGCUUAACCUUGGAAUGGCAUUCUUAACUACCGGGCUAGAGUAUGUCAGAGGGGGGUAGAAUUCCACGUGUAGCAGUGAAAUGCGUAGAGAUGUGGAGGAAUACGAUGGCGAAGGCAGCCCCCUGGGAUAAUACUGACGCUCAUGCACGAAAGCGUGGGGGAGCAAAACAGGAUUAGAUACCCUGGUAGUCCACGCCCUAAACGAUGUCAACUAGCUGUUGGGGGCCCUUCGGGCCUUAGUAGCGCAGCUAACGCGUGAAGUUGACCGCCUGGGGAGU
Molecule: ribosomal RNA, 537 nt
Filed under: uncultured bacterium
Lineage: Bacteria
Description: partial 16S ribosomal RNA
Rfam family: Bacterial small subunit ribosomal RNA
Source: RNAcentral